This is an RNA transcript of Xiphias gladius (swordfish), 2818 nucleotides long. It is a transcript of the gene named dehydrogenase/reductase SDR family member 13-like, with no coding region annotated. The record is from RefSeq and is a predicted model, not a curated record. The transcript is spliced from 9 exons. NCBI's taxonomy places the organism in Eukaryota, Metazoa, Chordata, Actinopteri, Istiophoriformes, Xiphiidae.
GGCUCUGAACCUCAUUCAAACCGAGUUUUAAACUCCGGUCAGUAGAUGACAUCCAAAUGUGUCAGGUUAAAUUUGCUUAAAAACAUACUAAAGAAAUGUCGAACGUUUCCAUUUGAUGAACUGGAGCAGCAGAAGUGUGAGAUCGCCUCAGUAUCUUAGCCCCGGGAAAGUUAAGGGCGUCUGUGGCGAAGCUCCCAACGAAACAAAAAGCCUUUUAUUACGGGCCGAGAAGGUCAGACGUCAACCCCGCGUUCAAAAACAAACAUUCAGCCACAAACCAGACUCCAUCGGCCGUGGCACAUUGGAAUCCUGCAUUUUCUUUGCUCCAAGAGGGAACACCGGCAUCGGUAAAGCCACGGCGCUGCACCUGGCCAGGAAGGGGGCCAGGGUGAUCCUGGCCUGCCGAAACCGGGACAAAGCCGAGGCCGCCAUCGCGGAUAUACAACAGGAGACAGGAAAUACCGACGUUCUCUACAUGCAUUUGGACCUGGCCAGUCUGAAGUCCGUCCGCUGCUUCGCCGAAGCCUUCCUGAAAACUGAGUCCAGGCUAGAUCUGCUCAUCAACAACGCUGGUCUGGUGGCAGACGGGCAGACGGAGGACGGUUUCGGCAUCCAGUUCGGGGUGAACCACCUGGGUCACUUCCUGUUGACCUGCCUGCUGCUGGAGAGGCUGAAGGAGGCGGGGGGAGGACGGGUGGUCACCCUGUCCUCCAUGGCUCACCGCUGGGGACACGUCGACUUCGAGGCUCUGGCGGUGAACAGACACCUGGGCACCGGCAGGUACAGCUGGCAGUUCUUCCAGGCGUACUGCAACAGUAAGCUGUGCAACGUGCUCUUCACCCACGAGCUCGCCAAGAGGCUGAAAGGAACCACCGUCACCUGCUACAGCCUCCACCCUGGCGUCGUUCGUACAGAGCUGUCCAGACACGUCAGCCCGUGGCAGAAGAUUUUCAUCGAGCCCGUGGCCCGGCUGCUGUUCCUGGACCCGGAGGCCGGAGCUCAGACCACGCUGCACUGCGCCCUGCAGGAGGGAAUCGAGCCUCUGAGCGGACGCUACUUCUCCUGCUGCGCCGUACAGGAAGUGUGCGCCCGGGCCCGAGACCCCGCCGUGGCCCGCAAACUGUGGGAGGUCAGCGAGAGGCUCUGUGGACUCUCUUAAGGUAACCGGCUGCCUGCCAUCUUUGUUUUGGCAAAAGGUGAGACACGACCAUGAAAACAAUUUCACGAAAAAAAAGUCUGACCCUAGACUGUGCUUGGGUUUCUGUUGAGUCUCUGCAGGGCUCUCAGAGUUAAUAUGAAGACCGUUUGAUCAGCUGAGCCUCACAGCUUCAGUGUCUUAUAAAGCGUCAGGUUCACUGACAGAUCAGACGGCAGCUUUGCGUUCAGAUGACAGCCGAACUGUGCUGCUGUAAAAGCUUUUCAGAUCCGAACGAGGCGACGGAGAGACGCCCUCCGCCUCCGCGGCGCAGACUCCACCGGGAAUUCGCGGAGAUCUGUCGCCUUGCUGCCGAAAAUCAAAGCAGUCAAAGCUGAUUGUUCCCACAUCGGCAGGCACCAGACACCUUCACCACCGAGUCAAGACUCGGUUUGGUUUCCACCGUCGGCACGAGGCUGCAUGAAAGCACCAACAGCUGAACACGUUUCAGGAAGACAAACGUCAGUCCAGGUUCUAACCCACUCUCCUGGCCAUGGCCUUAUCAACUCCCAGAGGAGCCACGGGGCAAAAACCUGCACAAUGCGUGUCACCUCCGAUACUUCCCAGGCAGCCAGAAACCAAGCUCCGGUGCUCUGGAGCUAAAGUCAGCAGUUGAUUAGUUGAUUAUCAGAAAAUCUAUUGGCAACAAUUUUUAUAUAACAAUUUUUUGUAGCUUCCAGUUCGGAGCGUCGGUGAUUUGUAACUUCCUAUUCGGAGCGUCGGUGAUUCCUAGCUUCCAGUUCGGAGGUGAUUCCUAGCUUCCAGUUCGGAGGUGAUUCCUAGCUUCCAGUUCGGAGGUGAUUCCUAGCUUCCGGCUCGGAGGGUCGAUGAUUCCUAGCUUCCGGCUCGGAGGGUCGAUGAUACCUAGCUUCCGGCUCGGAGGUGAUUCCUAGCUUCUUGUUUGGAGGAUCGGUGAUUCCAAGCUUCAUGUUUGGAGGGUCGGUGAUUCCUAGCUUCUGGAUCGGAGGGUCGGUGAUUCCUAGCUUCCGGUUCGGAGCCUCUGUGAUUCCUAGCUUCCGGUUCGGAGCCUCUGUGAUUCCUAGCUUCCGGUCCAGAGGUGAUUCCUAGCUUCCUGUUUGGAGGGUCGGUGAUUCCUAGCUUCUGGAUCGGAGGGUCGGUGAUUCCUAGCUUCCGGUUCAGAGCGUCUGCGAUUCCUUGCUUCCUGUUUGGAGGUGAUUCCUAGCUUCCGGUCCGGAGGUGAUUCCUAGCUUCCUGUUCGGAGCGUCUGUGAUUCCUAGCUUCCUGUUUGGAGCGUCUGUGAUUCCUAGCUUCCUGUUUGGAGGGUCGGUGAUUCCUAGCUUCUGGAUCGGAGGGUCGGUGAUUCCUAGCUUCCGGUUCAGAGCGUCUGCGAUUCCUUGCUUCCUGUUUGGAGCGUCUGUGAUUCCUUGCUUCCUGUUUGGAGCGUCUGUGAUUCCUUGCUUCCUGUUUGGAGCGUCUGUGAUUCCUAGCUUCCGGUUCGGAGCGUCGGUGAUUCAGUUUUCUGAGGCGGACUGAAUUCAAAGAGGAGCAGCAGUCAGCAGACAUCACAGAGGCCUCUUCUCUGAUCGCCAACAUUUAUGGGCAUAGAUGUUUUUAUGUUUCAUCACACUAGAAUCUGAACAUUAAAGAGCUACCAAACGGUCA